RNAcentral lists this ribosomal RNA (305 nucleotides) under uncultured bacterium. RNAcentral's name for it is "bacterial SSU rRNA". It matches the Rfam family "Bacterial small subunit ribosomal RNA", at positions 334 to 637 of the family's 1533-position model. The record is from RNAcentral.
UUUACCUACGGGGCGCAGCAGUGAGGAAUAUUGGUCAAUGGACGAGAGUCUGAACCAGCCAAGUAGCGUGAAGGAUGACUGCCCUAUGGGUUGUAAACUUCUUUUAUAUGGGAAUAAAACAGGGUAUGCAUACCCUCUUGUAUGUACCAUAUGAAUAAGGAUCGGCUAACUCCGUGCCAGCAGCCGCGGUAAUACGGAGGAUGCGAGCGUUAUCCGGAUUUAUUGGGUUUAAAGGGUGCGUAGGCGGAACAUUAAGUCAGCGGUAAAAUCGAGGGGCUCAACCCCUUUAAGCCGUUGAAACUGGG